CUCAUGAGGGAGCAGAACAUCCUCAAACAGAUCUUUGGCAUUCUGAAGGCCCCGUUCCGUGAGAAGGGGGGUGAAGGUCCCCUGGUGCGGCUGGAGGAGCUGUCAGACCAGAAGAACGCCCCCUACCAGCACAUGUUCCGCCUGUGCUACCGCGUGCUGCGGCAUUCCCAGGAGGACUACCGCAAGAACCAGGUGCGCCGCUGCCCCGCUGGCCCACUCGCUGGAUGCACGUUCCUUCCUCAGCA
RNAcentral lists this long non-coding RNA (245 nucleotides) under Pan troglodytes (chimpanzee). RNAcentral describes it as "long non-coding RNA NONPTRT014598". Lineage: Eukaryota; Metazoa; Chordata; Mammalia; Primates; Hominidae. The record is from RNAcentral.